Molecule: non-coding RNA, 21 nt
Filed under: Rattus norvegicus (Norway rat)
Lineage: Eukaryota; Metazoa; Chordata; Mammalia; Rodentia; Muridae
Source: RNAcentral
CUUCAUUAUAUUGCCAUGGUC